This 85-nucleotide transfer RNA is filed under the name Felis catus (domestic cat). It matches the Rfam family "tRNA". From Rfam's summary of the family: Transfer RNA (tRNA) molecules are approximately 80 nucleotides in length. Their secondary structure includes four short double-helical elements and three loops (D, anti-codon, and T loops). Further hydrogen bonds mediate the characteristic L-shaped molecular structure. tRNAs have two regions of fundamental functional importance: the anti-codon, which is responsible for specific mRNA codon recognition, and the 3' end, to which the tRNAs corresponding amino acid is attached (by aminoacyl-tRNA synthetases). tRNAs cope with the degeneracy of the genetic code in two manners: having more than one tRNA (with a specific anti-codon) for a particular amino acid; and 'wobble' base-pairing, i.e. permitting non-standard base-pairing at the 3rd anti-codon position. The record is from Rfam by way of RNAcentral. Lineage: Eukaryota; Metazoa; Chordata; Mammalia; Carnivora; Felidae.
GCCUGGGUGGCUCAGUCGGUUAAGCGUCCGACUUCGGCUCAGGUCAUGAUCUCACGGUUCGUGGGUUCAAGCCCCGCAUCGGGCU